Molecule: non-coding RNA, 29 nt
Filed under: Cricetulus griseus (Chinese hamster)
Lineage: Eukaryota; Metazoa; Chordata; Mammalia; Rodentia; Cricetidae
Source: RNAcentral
AAUAAAAGGACCCUACUUAGUUUUUCAGU